CCUACGGGUGACAGCAGUGGGGAAUAUUGGACACUGGGGGGAACCCUGAUCCAGCGACGCCGCGUGAGUGAAGAAGUAUUUCGGUAUGUACCGCUCUAUCAGCAGGGAAGAAAGAAAUGACGGUACCUGCCUAAGAAGCCCCGGCUAACUCCGUGCCAGCAGCCGCGGUAAUCCGUAGGGGGCAAGCGUUAUCCGGAUUUACUGGGUGUAAAGGGAGCGUAGACGGCGAUGCAAGUCUGAAGUGAAAGGCGGGGGCCCAACCCCUGGACUGCUUUGGAAACUGUAUGGCUGGAGUGCAGGAGAGGGAAGUGGAAUUCCUAGUGUAGCGGUGAAAUGCGUAGAUAUUAGGAGGAACACCAGUGGCGAAGGCGGCUUACUGGACUGUAACUGACGUUGAGGCUCGAAAGCGUGGGGAGCAAACAGGAUUAGAUACCCUUGUAGUC
RNAcentral lists this ribosomal RNA (443 nucleotides) under uncultured bacterium. RNAcentral describes it as "partial 16S ribosomal RNA". It matches the Rfam family "Bacterial small subunit ribosomal RNA", at positions 338 to 795 of the family's 1533-position model. The record is from RNAcentral.